RNAcentral lists this ribosomal RNA (253 nucleotides) under uncultured prokaryote. RNAcentral's name for it is "partial 16S ribosomal RNA". It matches the Rfam family "Bacterial small subunit ribosomal RNA", at positions 524 to 776 of the family's 1533-position model. The record is from RNAcentral.
GACGAGGGAUCCUAGCGUUGUUCGGAAUCAUUGGGCGUAAAGCGUAUGUAGGUUGCUUUGCAAGUCAGUUGUGAAAUCCCCGGGCUUAACCCGGGAAGUGCUUCUGAUACUGCAUAGCUUGAGUACUGUAGAGGUGAGUGGAAUUCCAGGUGUAGUGGUGAAGUACGUAGAUAUCUGGAGGAACACCGGCGGCGAAGGCGGCUCACUGGACAUGUACUGACACUGAGAUACGAAAGCGUGGGGAGCAAACAGG